Long non-coding RNA from Gallus gallus (chicken), 5525 nucleotides. The record is from Ensembl. NCBI's taxonomy places the organism in Eukaryota, Metazoa, Chordata, Aves, Galliformes, Phasianidae.
CAGAGGUUUUGGGUCUGCUCUUGCUCACUUGCACAAAAAGUAAUGGUGCUGUGGGUCAGACAGGAACUGGGAUAGGAGAGACCUUCCCUGUGUUUCAGGCUCCUGCUCCAUGCUGCAUGGUUCAGUGCUCUCUUUAGCAGUUUCACUGCCUCGGCUCCCCAGCCCAAGCCCAUACAAGAAACUAACAGGAAAGAAACCACGUCAGCAGUCUCCCACCGGGCUUUAUUCCCUGCAGGCUCUGUGCAUCAAAGGGCAGGCAGCAAAAUGGAGCAACCCAGUGCUCAGUAGGAGCAAAAAUAAGGGAAGAGGGGGUGAUCUCUCAUUAUGGGAUCUGUGCUUAUUGCUGGGGACCUCCUGUCUCACCCCAAACAAGCGACGCCCAUGGAGCUGCUCUCGAUUUCAUGUCUUGAUAACCACCAGCAGUGCUGCCGAAAGCAGGCACUGAAAGGAUUGGAGGGAAGAGCACCAGGAGAGAAGUCUUAUUUACAGCAUUAGGAGGUGAGUCUUACUUACAGCUUGGAGAAUCUGCAUUUUAGAAUGAGGCACCUUACUUAAAACUCAGGAAAGACAAAGGGGCACCUUGCAGAAGGGAGGGUUGCCCAGGCAACUGGCACAGUAUCUGCAUCCCCACAUCGUGCAGCCCUGUGGUUUGCAAAUAUCCUCACUGCAUUGCUCUCCUGUACGCUCACCCCUCGUGCUUUGCUCCCGCUCACGGGUGUGACCUCCAUCCAGGUGAGCUCAUCCACGUCCUCUGUUUGGAGCUGUACCUAAGUUACAUCUGUGUGGUAGUAAGACCUGAGGACAGACGCUUACCUCUUUUUCCUGCUCUUUUUUUAUUUUUUUUUAACACCAUAAAAGAAAAACACACUCAUCUUACAGAGACGGGAACUCUCUUGACAGCAAAACAGCAUGAUGGAUGUGCCAGGGCAUCAUUUCAUCAGAAUAUCAAGCCGUGAGGUUGGCUACUGCCAUUCAUUCUUGUCAUUUGAAUCCUCUUGAUGUGUAAGAUGACAUUAAAAUCCCAAGAGAGAAAAAUGCUGCAGCUCUCCGCAUCGAAGCCCGGGACGGUGCGUUGCUGAAGGUGAGAUAAAACAGGCUGCUGGCCCCAGUGCCUGUCCCAGGCAAAGGGAAGGACAAUUCCCAGCUGCCAUGCACACAGGUACAAACUCUCACAGUGUUUACUUCUUGCAAUUUUCACAACCCUGCUCGUAGAGGAAAGUUGGGUUUAUUCUCUUUGUCUUGCUGGUGGAAAGGAGAUUUGCCUUCCUACGCCUGUUGCUGUUCUCUGACUUCUGUUAGCACCUCGAGCAGUGGGCUGCUGGCCAGAUUUCUAAAGGUGUUUAAGCAGAACAGCUGCAGCUGCGUACCUGGAGGGAUUUUUCAGAAGCAUCUCGCUGUAAUUGUUUAUGAUAUUCUGCACUCCCACCAUGAUCUCUCUGGUAGCAUCUCCAUUCCUGCCAGCACUGCAUUUUCUAUUGCAGAACGGAGGUGAAUUUUGCUUCUUUGCUUCUUUCUGGUCCCAGAACUCCAGGAAGCUGUACAAAGAGAGAACAAAACGGGCAAAAUCUGCUGUGGGUGGUGAAACCUGGGAAGGUUUAUUGUCUGUAUACAUAUAUAGAUGGGAUGCUGAGAAGGCACAUGCCUUCACUUACAGCACAAACCCAGUACAAACAGGGAGCUUUCAUAGAUGUGACCUUGCACUGAGGAACGUACAAAUAACUUCCCCAUCCCUUUGAAAAGCAAACUAUGCCCAAGCUGCAACACUGUGCCCAUGGCUUCUGAGCACCUGAAAGCUCUGUUAGAGCAGCAGUUGAAUCACCGAGAGCUUCCUCCUCAUUAUUGCCUCCAGCGAUACAGCAAAGUCAUAGCAAAUCCUGGGGGUCGUGGUUGUGUUGUUGUGAAGGACCAGGCCAAAAAAAAUACAGCACAUUCAGCACAGAUCUGCACGAAGCCCCGGGACGAGCUGCAGGUGCAGCCUGCACUCUUCGCACAGGGCGUGCAAUCUGCAUCCUGCACUGCCAUCUAUAGCGCAGCACCGCGCACAGCAAAAGCAAACCAGGACCCAACAAAGCCCGACCUGAGGCAGCAGGCUGUGAGCAGCUUCCAUGCAAUUAAUUAAAUGGGAAAAGUAGGGAGCCACAGCCAUGGGAUGGGAUGCGAUCGAGCCCAGGUUGGAUCACACCCACCCGCAUUCCUCUUUCCCUGCCCCUCGUCUGCUUUUGGUUUGCAACACAAUUUCAUCCUCUCCGAAUCAAUAGAGGAACGGCCAGCUUUCUCCAGGGGACAGCUCAAGAUACACCAAAUCAGAGGCGUGAAACCAAAACCCAUUUUGACUCUGAUGAGCAAAGGGAAUUUCUUUUAUUUUUUGAUUUUUAAGGCAGAUGUUGCUUUCAUGCUCUGAAAGCUCCGAAACAGCCGAGUGGAUUUUCUUCAAACUCUUCACACGCACAGAAAUUCACCUUUGGGCUGUGAACGAGCUGAAGAAAUUGCACUGCAAUGGAGAUUUUUACUGCAAUGGAGAUUUUUGUUCCUCCCUUUUUCCUUUUUUUUUUUUCCUUUUUUUUUUUUCUUUUUUCUUUUUGAUUUGGAAAGUUAAAAGGGUCCUAAAAUAGAAGCUGAGAAUUGGAUUAAACAUCCCUUUGUUAACUCCAGCCCCGCUCCAAGCCUGCAAUUAUCAUUUCUUAAGGUUCCCAUCCCUCUCACACUUCCAGCUGCCCCCAUUUUGCGUUAAAAUAACCAAAGAACGGCUCUUGCCAAUGCCACAUGAAGAAGGAGCUUCUGAGAUGGAGCAGGGACAGCCCAGGUCUGGCCCCAUUUCACAUCACUCCAGAACCAAUGAAGGAAAGGGGGGAUGGAGACAGCAGAAGCCUGAAAGCCCAGAGCAGCAGGACGCCCCAUCCCAACAGCAGCCUCACCCCCAUAUUCACUAACAGUUUGGGGAAAUGAGUAUCUAGCUCAGCACUGUUGGCACCACAUGGGAGUAUCAAGUAGGCUCCUCCAAAAAUAAUGCCUUUUAAUUAUUUCCAUAGUAACUCUGGCAGAUACAAAGAGCACAAUAACACUGUUGGAUAGAGCAAAUUCACAGCUACAAUAUAUACAUAUAUAUAUAUAGUUUUCUACUUAGUCAGCAGCAUUAGCUUUUACGUUUUCACCAGUAAUGAACAAAAGCCUGCAUGCUGCACUCAUCAACGUCUGUACCAGUGGAGGUGACCCACUGCCACCACAGCUGAAACGCACCGCCCACUGCCUCACUGUGCUCACAUCCACUGUUCAGUCUUCAUAAAUGUUCAGCAAGCAUUGAUGAAAGUCGAUGGGCAGCUGGUUUUCCACACGGAGGAAUCCAGUGACACACCUUUGCUUCAUAUGCACUUCCAUGCCAGACUGCCACUCUGCUGCCAUCUGUCUCACAGCAACAAAAUGUAAUGGAAUUCUGGUGGGAAGGUUCAACUUCUACUGCCAUCCCAUCAACAUCUGCCUCUGAUGUGGUGGGUCAACAUAAUAAAGCAGGAGGCAUUAUUUUUGGAGCAGCCUUUGUAGAAGCCUUGUGCUCUGAAGAAGUCUUCUCACUGACAAGAGAUGGACCAAAGCCUUCAGCUCCUCCACCAGUGACCCCCAUUGGUGCUAAUGGGACAUCUUCCAUCAGUGAGUAUCCCUGUGUGGAUGUGGGGCAGACGAAGCCUGGUGUUAGUAUGGGAGGACAGCGGGGCUUUGCAGGUAUCCAUGUGACAGAUUUCAGCCACCCAGAAGUUUGGAGAUGGAAGGAAAGCCAUCCGUAGCAUCCGGAAAUGAUUUGGUGAGAGCAGACGAGCUCUGUGCAGCCCGAUGUGCUCGGCAGCGUGGCUGUUGUAACAGGAAUUACAGUGCUAAAUCGAGCACUGGGAAACAACGCACACACUUGGCAUAGCCACAGGGCUGGCGUCUGGGCUGCAGGGGAGCAGAGCAGAGCACACAGGAGGAGGUGAACCAGCAGCACUUUAUCAUUUUAGCUAACGAAAUUAGCAGUAAACUUCACCUGUUUACACCUACAGUAAUUCCUCUUCUUGUUCUUGCGAGCCAAGUUCAAUUUUCUUUAUGUCCUCAUGUAUGUGUCUGUAAAUAGCCAAUUACUGCUGUUAGACCCUGCCAAUAAAUCGCGUGCUUUUAUUUGUUCCCCUUCCCUCCAAGCCAGGCGGCACUGAGCGCUGUGCAGCCUGCAGAGGGGCUGAGGCCACACAAAGCCCAGCACAAUUGAGCCCGGUACUAUGGAGCAUGGCCUCUCCUUGGGCGAGCAGCCCUUGGAAGACACAAGCAGCUGGAAUAAGGGUGAUUUCAUGAUCGUAAAAACUUCAUUUCGCUUUUAUUGCUGUAGAAAAGCUGCGGCUAGGUGCAUUUCUCAUGCAGCUGAUUAACCUGAGGUUAGAGCAGAUGUGCACGGCAGCAGCGUGCCUCAACCUUCUUCCACAAGCAAAUCAAAGGCAAAGCGUUGCCGGCACGGAGAGACAAAGAGAAAGGCCCGUGUGCUGCUCCCCACUCCCAACGUGCCUCCCGGUUGCCUAGCGAUCCUAACAAUAUUUUACGAGGCUUUAUUCCUGGGGCACGCUGUACUAAUGCUGAAUUUGAGCGAGGAGCUCCAGGAGAAGCAUGGAGGAGGCGGAGGUGCCGUCACACCGAUGGACUGCAGCCGGGCUGGGGGGAAACAUUAAACACCAAAUGGCGGUGAUGGGGGAUGAAGGCCGAGGGAUUCAUCCUGGCUGGGUUUGCAUCUGCACUCAGUGGGGCCAGGGCUCUUCCAGCAGUGGCUCCGGGAAGGCUGAUGCCCACAUCUCCUUCUGCCUUGGGCCACACCGAGAGCAAAGGCAGCAAAGGGCAGAAACCUGUGUCAGAUCACAUCCCCUCGCUUUCUUCCUCCUUAGCCCCAUUCUAACACAUUGUCUGGGCAUAAACGAGCCCCUGGGGUUCAGUUCCUUUUUUCAGAGUUCUUACUUUUGUCUUUCAGCCCAGCUAACACAAGCUUUGUUUGAGACACAACCUUCCCAUAGUGAUUACUUUUAACGGUGUCGUUCUUUUUCUUUUAAUCCUGGCUUUAAAAAGAAAAAGAGCACCCUUAAUUUUAUCAAAGAUUACUCUGUAACAGCAAUCUCUUGCUAACAUAAACCGAAUUAGAUUCAGUCAUUAAACUCUUACAUGAUUAUUAUUUUGCUGAUGAGGAAUGACCUUCGGUUACAUUCACCAACUACUUCAUUUCUGCAAAACAUGUAUUCAUAGCAGAACAAAAAUCAAUAGAAAUGUUUUCCUGCCUUCUCAUUUCUCUCCCUCUAUUUUUGGAGUGGUUUCUUUUUUGCUCUCAAUUUCCAGGGUGCAAACAAACAUGUCCCCUCCUGCCUGUAAAGCAAGCACAUUAGCAUGAGGGGUACCCGUAAGUGAAAAUUAUUGUAGACAAAAGUGAAAAGUAUUCCAUUGAUUUUUCCACUGGCCAAGAUGAAGGACAAGUAAAUUGGAUUUUUCAAAUCCUUUCGCUUUUCAUACUGUAAGGUACUAUUAGUAAU